Molecule: small RNA, 134 nt
Filed under: Asterionellopsis glacialis
Lineage: Eukaryota; Bacillariophyta; Plagiogrammaphyceae; Rhaphoneidales; Asterionellopsidaceae
Description: partial Alphaproteobacteria transfer-messenger RNA
Source: RNAcentral
CCCCAGAUUGGCAUGUGGAGCCGUCAGGAUUGUCACCACCUUUGGGGUUUUGGGUUGUGUUCCAUGCCACACCAUUUAAAAAAAAAAGAAUAAAAAUGAAUCAACAAACGUAAAUGGAACAUGAGAGAAUUCGA